Molecule: long non-coding RNA, 811 nt
Organism: Mercurialis annua (annual mercury)
Lineage: Eukaryota; Viridiplantae; Streptophyta; Magnoliopsida; Malpighiales; Euphorbiaceae
Exons: 2
Source: RefSeq, a predicted model, not a curated record
AUUACAACAACCAGCAAAGUUUUGGAUUUAUUUUGCUAUUAGAUCUUUUAACUAUUUAUAUUUUUCUUUAAAAUGUAAAUUUAAAAAUGAAAUUCAUUAUGAGAAAAGUUGAUUAUGUUUUACAUUAUCCUUGGAUUUGAUUCGACUUAAACAAAACCCUCAAAACCACCACCGCACAACCACCGUGAUCCCACCGCCGGAUUAAGAAUCCGACAAGGCUACAAAACUUACGAAUCCUACAUACAACGUCAACUAAACAAAACCCUAGGAUUCAUACUUCCUCUCCUGAUUGUCAUAAGGGAUUAUUGGUUCUGAUACGAUCAGGAUUCAGGCCUAUGGGUUGCUUUAUUAAUUAAUAUAAGAGUGCAUGAUUUAGUGGUCUCAAAGCCUGAUUUAUUAUGAUCAAAAAUCCGUCACUCUUCGAUCUGCCGCUGCAGUUCGUUGCCCCUGCCGCUUCCGCCGCUUGCCGUGCUGUUCCUCUUCUCUCCGCUGAUCCUCUCCUCUUCUCUACACCGAACCGCUGCUUCUCUCCUCUCCGCUUCCGCUGUGUGCUCCUUUCCUCUUCUCCGCUGCCGCCGCCUGCUCUCUAACAAAAUCCUGCCUCUGUGGGCGGUAAAUUGUCUCCGUUGAUGAGUUGUAACGGAUAAACAAAUCAGAUGUAUAUUUUUCAACAAUCAAUGGCAACAGUAUGGGGUGUUGGUUUCUCUGUUAAGGAUUGCUCAAAUGGUCUGUUACAGAUGUUUUUCAAUGACAAAAUUUGAAAUGUUAAAGAUAUUAAAUGGAUGUUCUUGGGGUGACUCUCUUUGUUUAA